UCCAUUAGUGACAUGAUUUUUUAAAAAAAAACACACCAAGUAAGAUUAUUGGCUUGCGUACCAAAUCAUUCCUCUACCAAGAAAAACGGGAAAUAACUCAGAUAUAAAUAAUGCAAGUGGCUGCUGAAUUAGGAGGACAUUCAAAAAUUCCCUCAUAAAUUACAUAUUGGUGACCUAAUGUAAUUUAGUGUGGGUGAUAUUCGUAAGUAUUUCUUUUACUUGAAAGACUAUGGAUACUAGAGAAUAUAAAGGUCAAAUGAAAGCUAUUCAAAUAAUAGAAUUUUAUGGGAAAAAUAACUUCAUCAGAUACCAUAUUUCACUUGACACUGUUGGAGA
Long non-coding RNA from Phyllostomus discolor (pale spear-nosed bat), 336 nucleotides. RefSeq lists it as uncharacterized. The transcript has 2 exons. The record is from RefSeq and is a predicted model, not a curated record. Lineage: Eukaryota; Metazoa; Chordata; Mammalia; Chiroptera; Phyllostomidae.